UGGGGAAUUUUGGACAAUGGGCGAAAGCCUGAUCCAGCCAUGCCGCGUGAGUGAAGAAGGCCUUCGGGUUGUAAAGCUCUUUUGUCCGGGAGGAAAUCCUGGCCUCUAAUACAGGUCGGGGAUGACAGUACUGGAAGAAUAAGCACCGGCUAACUACGUGCCAGCAGCCGCGGUAAUACGUAGGGUGCAAGCGUUAAUCGGAAUUACUGGGCGUAAAGCGUGCGCAGGCGGUUUUGUAAGCCAGAUGUGAAAUCCCCGAGCUUAACUUGGGAACUGCGUUUGGAACUACAAGACUAGAGUGUGUCAGAGGGGGGUAGAAUUCCACGUGUAGCAGUGAAAUGCGUAGAGAUGUGGAGGAAUACCGAUGGCGAAGGCAGCCCCCUGGGAUAACACUGACGCU
This 400-nucleotide ribosomal RNA is filed under the name uncultured bacterium. RNAcentral describes it as "bacterial SSU rRNA". It matches the Rfam family "Bacterial small subunit ribosomal RNA", at positions 355 to 747 of the family's 1533-position model. The record is from RNAcentral.